RNAcentral lists this ribosomal RNA (253 nucleotides) under uncultured bacterium. RNAcentral's name for it is "partial 16S ribosomal RNA". It matches the Rfam family "Bacterial small subunit ribosomal RNA", at positions 524 to 776 of the family's 1533-position model. The record is from RNAcentral.
UACGUAGGUGGCAAGCGUUGUCCGGAUUUACUGGGCGUAAAGGAUGCGUAGGCGGACAUUUAAGUCAGAUGUGAAAUACCCGAGCUUAACUUGGGUGCUGCAUUUGAAACUGGGUGUCUAGAGUGCAGGAGAGGUAAGUGGAAUUCCUAGUGUAGCGGUGAAAUGCGUAGAGAUUAGGAAGAACACCAGUGGCGAAGGCGACUUACUGGACUGUAACUGACGCUGAGGCAUGAAAGCGUGGGGAGCGAACAGG